AGACGAACCGUCCAAACGUUAUUCGGAAUCACUGGGCUUAAAGGGUGCGUAGGCGGCGCGGAAAGUUGGGUGUGAAAUACCUCGGCUCAACCGAGGAACUGCGCCCAAAACUUCCGUGCUCGAGGGAGAUAGAGGUGAGCGGAACUUAGGGUGGAGCGGUGAAAUGCGUUGAUAUCCUAAGGAACACCGGUGGCGAAGGCGGCUCACUGGAUCUCUUCUGACGCUGAGGCACGAAAGCUAGGGUAGCGAACGGGAUUAGAUACCCCAGUAGUCC
This 274-nucleotide ribosomal RNA is filed under the name uncultured bacterium. Its description in RNAcentral is "partial 16S ribosomal RNA". It matches the Rfam family "Bacterial small subunit ribosomal RNA", at positions 523 to 796 of the family's 1533-position model. The record is from RNAcentral.